Molecule: RNA transcript, 4195 nt
Organism: Helianthus annuus (common sunflower)
Lineage: Eukaryota; Viridiplantae; Streptophyta; Magnoliopsida; Asterales; Asteraceae
Exons: 14
Source: RefSeq, a predicted model, not a curated record
UUCUCUCUCAUCUCUCUCACAACUCACAUCUCACCAGAUCUCAUCCGCCCCCAACUCUAUGCUUUCUCUCUCCCAGGCGAUUUCCAGAUCUAGGGUUUCAAUAACCCUGAAUCGUUCAUUUUCUCUCAAUCGACAGAAGAUCCAGUGGGGUUGUCCUCUAGAAGAUCCACUGGGUUUUUCUCUAAUCGGCACAAGAUACACUGUGGAUGACAUCUAGGUACCGUUAUAAAACCACAUCUAAUGUUUUUUGUUUGUUAUUUGAGUCUGAUUUGGAUCUGGUUAAAAUUCUGUUUGCGAGGCAAUGCUUGAACGGGUCUCUGACAUGAUGGAAAAGGAUUUGAUUCUUGUUGGUGCAACUGGUAUAAACCAUCUUCUCCGAGAUCGGUUGCUGCUUAUGUUAAUCCUCAUCGUCUUCUGUUCAGAUCUUGUUUUAAUACCGAUCUGCGAAAGUUUUGGAUGAUUCUGGAUUUGUUAUUGUGUUAGGAGAUGUCGUGUUCCUCAAGCCUGAACAAUUCGAGAGUUAAACGAUGAUGAUCGGUGGCUGUUAUGGAAGUUUCAUCAAAAAUUUCGGGUCGCAGUCAAACUGGUCAACUAUGUCAACAGUGUCUGGUCAACAUUUGAGUCUGGUUAACUGGGUCGACACGAGUCGGUUACGAGAUCAUGGGAAUGUAUAAGAUGUAUAAGGGCGCCAUUAAAUUAUUUAAAAUUACGUAUCUGUUUUGGGUUUGGGGCAUUGGUGCUUCUUGUUGAUAUGGGUCAUUUGAUUGCUGUUGGAUGAAAGGUGACGGUUCCAUCUAUAGCAUCGGUCUUUAACGAGUAUGCACUCAAGAGCCAAUAUGACACAAGCAUCUACCUUCAGGACUUGUUUUUAUAUGGGUACGGUGCUAUAUAUUCAAUUUUCUUGGAAUUCUUGGAACCGUGGUUAUCCAAGGCCCUGAAAGCGUUGAUUUUUUCAAGGACAUUCAAAAGCAACCAUGCUUUUAAUUAUAAACAAUGCGGGGCAGGGAAUUUUAUCCUCAUUUUUCUUCAAAUAUGCAGAUACAAUCUUGAAAAAGUAUUCAUCUACAUUUGCGACAAUUUUCACGGGCUAUGCAUCUGCCGCUUUGUUCGGUCAUACGUUGACGAUAAAUUUUAUGUUAGGAAUUUCUAUUGGUUUCAUUUCAAUGCAUCAGUUCCUUUCACCUCUUUCGGACGUUAAAGAAGAAGAAAAUGGAGUAUUGGAGCUUGAAUCUGUUAAAAAAACUGAUAGAAAUUAGCUGACCUGUCAUCCUCACAGAGCCCGAGGUUGAUUGACGGGAUCUUGCUAACCAAGUUUGAUACCAUAGAUGAUAAGGUUGGAGCUGCACUGUCUAUGGUUUACAUAUCAGGAGUGCCUGUGAAUGGCUGUGAUGUUUAUCGGGUGUGGACAGUCUUAUACAGAUCUCAAAAAGCUGAAUGUGAAGGCCAUUGUGAAGACGCUGCUUAAAUGAUGGUGCCUAUAAAGUGGCUUCGUUUAUGGUUUGUUUUCUGGACCUACUUCUGUCAAUGUACUCUUCGAGCUUGAAUCUGUUAUGUACUAUGCGCUCUUUUGGACUGCUCUUCUGUUGUCAUGCCUGGAACCCAAAUUAAUCAAUAGCUUGGAUCAAAGGGGAUGCAAAAGUCAAACGGUAUGCUAUUGGCAUUACAUAUGAAUGUUACCUAAUCCGCUUCGACCCGUUACCUAAUCCGUCUGACCCGUUACCUAACUCCUGCAUUGUGAAUGUUAUAGUUCGAAGGUUGUUUAAAUGUUAUGGAUUAGUUUAGCACAUUGUUUUGUUUUAUUUGAUAGGGAAUGAGUGAGAAUGUGCGCCUCUAACAAGUUCCUUGACAGGAGGUUGAUCUUCCCCGGCAGAUGGUUUAGUGGUUGCAGCCUUUGUGAUUAAACUACAUUGACAUCACUUGUAGCAUAUUUGUUGUCAAACUACAUUGACAUCACUUGUAGCAUAUUUGUUAUAAGAAUUGAGCUUUGUUAACAUGUUAUGUUACUGUUUGUUUUUUUUUCCUACCAAAGUUACAUACUUAUUGAAAUAAAUGUUAUUUACAUAGUUGCCUUCGCCGCAUCGCGCCAAUGUCAGUGUUUUCUUUCUUUUUUUUUUUAAAUUAAUAUUACUUCUUUUUGAGCAGGUAGAGGUGGAAAUACCAUUUCAACCCACUAAUAUGAAAAUAAUAUUGGAUUAAGAUAUAUGGACGUGUACAAAUUCUUCUUGUGUAUAAACCGAUACAUUUAGCAUCUGAUAUCAUUAUUGUUAAUAAGGUUGUGGAUAAACCUAUUUUUGAUAUUUUUGAGAAAAAUAUUUAUGGUUUAAAUAUGUUUUCGUAUAGAAAUUUUUUGGGUAUAUACGUUUUCGACCCACCCGUCAACAUCAAGCUUCGCCACUGCCGAAGGCCUCAUUGUAACUGAUGAUACGAUUCAUCAUUCAAAACCGUUGAUUUACCCACAUCUAUAAACCCCCCAUAACAUAACUAGAAUCACACAAUUUUCUUUGUUUUCUCCUGAAGCCGGUAACCGACCGUCGCACAAUAACCACCAAACGCCAUCACGAAACCACCAAUCGCCGCACUCCGCUGAUUCUCCGACGCUGAAGAAGGCCGCAACCGACCCUCACGUUCUGCUACACUGCCACCAUCGUCGUCGGACGCAACAUCGGAAACUACAUCCCCGUACAUAGCCAUAAACUCGCCAACCUAAGUGAUAUGUUUCCCGCCGCAUCGCGCGGGUAAACGACUAGUAACUAUAUAAUACAUCUCCUUAGGACUAAGAUGUAAUUUUAGUCCCUAAUUUUAAGAUGGCAUAUGAAAAGUGAGUUAAAAUCCCUAUUUUUUUCCUUAUUUUCUUCCAUUAUUGCCCCUGUCCCCAAGAAACCGGCCUCCAACUCAUUGUCUUUUUCUUAAUAUACCAUGGUUAAGGAAAUCAACCAGCCGAACAGGGGAGGAGCAAACGUCAGUUCAAUUACUAAUACAGUCAACUUUGAAAUCAAUUCUUCCCCACGAAACUGAAAUCAAUUACUGAUAUCAUCAUUAAGGUUCGAUCGAUGAAACUGAUAUCACACCAAAAGCCACCAAAACCCUACGAUUUCAAUCCCAUAAAUCCGAUCAAUUCUCCUUCUCCAGCACUUGGACCAGCCGAUAUGCCUUUUUGUUUGUUUCAUACGACGGUGUUAAGGGUUUCUAAAUAUGCUUUAGGAUGAUUCGCAGACUUUGAAGAGAUAACUGGUGUUCACAAUACAAUCAAGGUUCUUCAGGCAUUCCUUGAUGUAUACGUGGUGGAGGAGCAAUGGGAAUGCCAUUUUGGGCCAGGGGUGUGAACUGAGAUCCAGGUGACCCAUUAGGCGAUUCAUCAUGUAAAUUCCGGGCCUAGGCGGAGUCGUGACUUGAGCAUUAGGAGGGAUGUUUAAAGCUAGCCCAGUCACAUAGUUUGAGUAGCAGUGUCUUUCUUUCCCGUGUUCUCUCUUAGCCUAGCCAAGGUCCAUGGGUAGGUUUGACAAGUCAAAACUGGUGAUUUGCUCAUGUCUCGCGUUAUUGACUCCGCCGCAACGCGCGGGUCACAUUAUUUGCAGGAGUUCAUUAAUUUAAACUUAAGGGUUUUACAUUAUUAUUGACUUAUUGUGCUUUUUGUGUAUAGUUACAUUUUGUAUCAAUCAAAAUAGGGCUUCUUUCGGGUAUUCAAGGCAUAUUUAGAGAUGAUAUGGCAAUGACACUCCUGCUUCUUUUAAUUUAUGUUUUCGAUACUGUUUGCAGAUUAUCCAAAGGCGAGAAAGUUAAUAAAUCCGAGAAUCGCAAGCAGCCAAUAGAAGUUUUCGAGUUUGCCUUUGUUUAAGUUAUUCGUUAACCAACUCCCGUUUGUUGCCAUGUCAGUUAACGACACUAACACGCUACUCAUGAAAUAACGCGUUCGUUAAGAGAUGUAAAUAUGAGAAUGGAUACGAAGAGGAAAACCGAGAAUGAGCCUGCGGGUAUGCUAAAGUUUGCAACUUUUCGGUUCAUGAGUGUAGCUUACUCAAUAGUGAAUGUGUUCAUUUGAGAGUAGACUGUCCAAAAGAGGAUGCAUGUUGACCAAAUGGGGAUUAUACUUGUGGCCAUUUUGACUUCUUAAACUUGUGUUGCACUUGAAACUAUCCAUGGAUUAUUUUUGUUUUCUUCUGAAUUUCCAUAAUCAUGUAGUAUUGCAGCUUUAUCA